Leptidea sinapis is the source of this 6345-nucleotide long non-coding RNA. RefSeq lists it as uncharacterized. NCBI's taxonomy places the organism in Eukaryota, Metazoa, Arthropoda, Insecta, Lepidoptera, Pieridae. The record is from RefSeq and is a predicted model, not a curated record. The transcript has 2 exons.
AAUAGGUAUCUUAUAUUACAUCUUAUUCUUAAGGAUUUUUGUUGGUGAGUUGAAUUUUACUAUUUAUUAUUAUAUUAUCAAUUCAAAUAUGUAAAGAGAAUUGUUGGUAUAUUUUAUUAACUAUCUCUACUUUUGGAAUGGUUUUGAUAACAUAUACACAUAUUAUUUUAUUGCAGUGUACUUUUAUUCCAGAAUAAUAGUCGGGUUGCUGUUAGAGGCUAACCAAGUAUUAUUUAGGUUACCAUUGCAAUUAAAGUGUACUAGAUUCGCGGGAGAAAAAAAUAUGUUUUUUUUUUUUUUAUUAUCUAAGUCGGAUCUGCGAUCAGUCACAAGACUAUAAGCGGAUGAGUUGGGUGAGUAUGACGUUUAGACUAAGAGACCAGUGUCUCAUCUGCCUUCCUAUAACACAUCCUUCCUUUUCAGCCUUUUCAUUGCUCUGGGACGGAUUAGGAGAUCAUUAGCCAGGGUAUAUGGGUGAACCGAGAGGCGAUCAGCGUAUUUCCUUUUGAAUUUAUCAAUUUCCGACUGAACACUGGGAACGCCAAGAUAUUGAUGGAUCUCGUCAUUUCUGGAAAACCAUGGGGCACUUGUGAUGGUACGCAGGAUGUUGUUUUGCACACGUUGGAUGAGUAUGAUGUUGCUUUUGUUGGCAGAGCCCCACGGUGGAAUUCCGUAGGUCCAGUUGGGCUUCAAUACAGCAUUGUAGAUUAGAAGCUUAUUGUCAGUAGACAGGACAGAGUUUCUACCCAUGAGCCAGUGAAGGUUUCGGAACCUGUGAUUAAUUUCAUGCCGUUUCUUCUUUACGUGAGAAAUCCAGGUGAAUCUUCUGUCUAAGCUAAAGCCUAGGUAUUUCACUUUCUCAGAAUCUGGUAGAACAUUAGAGCCAAGUUUGACAGGAUGGCAAUUUUCCCUUCUUAACGAGAAGGUGAUGUGGUUCGAUUUUUGAGCACUUGCCCGAAUGCGCCAUUUAUUCAUCCAUGCUUGGGUCUUGUCUAAAAGCUGUUGGAGCUUAUUACUAGCCUGUGCUGGGUCUUCAUCGCUUGCAAUGUAGGCUACAUCAUCGGCAUAUGUUACUACGGUGACGUCUUCAGAUACCGGUAAGUCUGAAGUAAAUAUGUUAUACAUUACGGGACCAAGUACUGAACCCUGUGGAACGCCGGCUUCAAUUUUUCGUAGCGUAGAUCUGACAUCUCCCUGUUUCACUUGGAAAAGCCUGUCUUCGAGGUAGGGCUUGAUGAUGAGGUAGAGAGAGUGUGGAAGUUUGUCUUUAACUUUGUACAAUAGCCCUUUGUGCCAGACUCUGUCAAAUGCUUGGUGAACGUCUAAAAAUGCCGCAGAGCAGAAAAGUUUCAUUUCAAAGCAGCGUCUGAUCUCGUGAUAAACCCGAUGCAUUUGCUCAAUUGUCGAGUGCUGUUUCCGAAACCCGAACUGGUGCUUUGGAAUGAUGUUGCAGUUUACCAUGAGUUCAUUCAAGCGGACUAAAAAUAUUUUUUCCCAUAAUUUUGAUAUCACUGGAGUUAAACUUAUUGGUCGGAAUGAUGAAGCUUCAUGAGGAGGUUUUCCAGCUUUGUGAAUCAUAAUAAUUUCCAGAUUAUGGAAAAAUAUGAAGUUCUCAAGGUAGCAUUAAAGAGUGAGGCAAGAAAUGUUAUGCAUUUUCUGGGAAGAUUUUUAAGAAUUGUGGGAGUAAUUAAAUCAAAUCCAGGUGCCUUGUUGGAAUUCAGUCGUCUAAUCUCUGACGCGAUUUCCUUUGGAGAUGUGGGUCGGAGAGGCAGGCAUAGCUGGAGAUCUUGUCCAAGUACUUUAUCAAUCUCAGAUUCAUCGCCACCAUCAUUCACCUUGAAUGCAUUUUCAAGAUAAUUGGCAAAUACUUCUGCUUUCUCAGCGUGCGUUCGAGCCCAUGAGUUUGAUUGUUUGAGGGGAGCGUGAUGUUCUUGCGGCUUUGCAAAGGAUUUAGCAGCUUUCCAAAGCGACGUUUCGCCCUUUCCCUGAGGUGACACUCUUUCGAGAGUAUUUCGGAAUGAAGAAUUUGCCUGUUCUUGCAAUAGCUUCUUUAGCUGUUUUGCUGCUCGGUUGAAGGCGGUUUUAUCUGCAGGAUGGCGAGAGUGAUGCCAGAUUCUUCGUAGUCUUCGUUUCUCUCUAAGGCUUUCUUUAAUAUCUGCUGAUUGUAGUGACACCUUUGGAAGGCAAGUGGAGACUGGUGAGUUUUUCCACGCCGAUACUUGGAUCAGGUUUGUGAGAGGUACAAGCAAGCAUUGUCAAUAUCCUCCGGAGUUUUCAUACGAACAUUUAACUGGAUAUAUUCGUCCAAGAAAUUACGAAAGCCAUGCCAGUCAGUUUUUCCAUUAGAUAAGGAGUCAGAUGGCUCGGCAUGAAUGACUGAAGUACUUAAGGUGAGGAUUACCGGCGUGAUCAGAUGAACCGUCAAGGCUCGAUUCUACAGUGGAGUAAAGAUGGCUGAUCCCCUUGGUUGGUGACAAAGAAGUCCAACAAAUCUGGGGUCUUGUUAAUACCUGUUGGCCAGCUCGUCGGUUCUCCCGAGGAUAUUGGAGUGAGGUGGAGACUAUCCAAGCAGCUUUUAAGCGUUCGGCCUCUAGGAAGAGUCAUGCGAGAACCCCAAUAUGUAUGCUUAGCGUUCCAGUCCCCUCCUGAUAUGAAUUUGGUUCCAAGGUGAGAAAAGUAGUCUUCAAACAUUUGACAGGUUAUUUUAUGCUUAGGUGAGCAGUAAACGGCGGACAAUGUAAUCGGACCUGCUCGGUCAUCAAGUCGUAUGGUAGUAGCCUGAAUAUAUUGGGUAGAGUAUGAACUCUACCCAAUAUAUUAAGGCUACUACUGGAGUCAUCUCCAGCACGGUAUGCUUAAGGUUUGAUCUUAUCCCUAUUGCGGUGCCCGCAUGAGCUUUGCCUAUGUCAGGAUGAGGCGUAAAGUAGAUGUUGAAAUCCUUCAUCGGUAGAGACUAUUUUUUGAGGAAUGUGACUCUGAGAUAAGAACUAUGUCAAGAUUAUUAUUUUUAAUUACUUCUUCAAGUUCAAGUAUGUUCGAUGACAGCCCAUUGAUGUUACAAGUUGCUAUACGUAAGGGGAUUACGAAUGUAGUUUAGAGACAACGGACGUCAAUAGGUUUAAGAGAGUACCUAUCUGUUGAAUGAGUUGUUCUAUCUUUUCGGAUUGUUUUAUUAAGAUUUGUUCAAUCCGACUUUGUUGAGGGUUGGGUUCAGUCUCACAGUCAGUGUUAGGGCUGCCUCUAUUUGCUGUAAUAUCAGAGUAGCUUCGCUUGUCACGGAGUUGGGUGGGAUUAGGUGCUAGCGAGGGUUUGUUGGGGUGAUCAUGUGGUUCAGUUGGUUUAGUUAAUUUCAUGUCAUUCAUAGGUCGAGUAGGGUGUUUUCUGUUUUGGUUUGCCUUUCUGGAUGCGAUUUCCAAAUAAACCUGACAGCCUUUAUAGUUUGCAGGAUGGUCGCAUGUGCACAAAGCACACUUUGCUGGAGAUUUGCGAUCUUUCUUUGGACAAUCAGCGGUCUUGUGUCCUUCCCCGCAUUUAACGCAUCUAUAGGGCCGCAUGCAGUUAUUUUUGGAGUGACCAUAUUGCUGGCAGCGCUGGCAUUGAACAAUUGUUUUCGCUUUUCAAGGGUCUUCUAUUAUUACUCGCUGGUGGUGGAUAUACUCUAUAUUUUUCACUGCUUUGUUGUUAUUAUUUGGUUCCAAAUUGACGAAAAAUGUAAAAGAUGGAGUUUUGUCUGGACCAUAUCGGGCGUUAAUUAUUUCUCCACGGACUUUAUUACCAGUAGCUUCUAUCGCAUCGAUUAUUUCACUGAGGUGUGGUAUAAUGAAGUUUCUUUGUUACUAUGCGAUAUGCCUUCUUUUCUUUUGGCGUAAACGUGUGACCUAUCAAACCUUAGGCCCUUAUUGCCGAUAUCACAUCCUUGUAGGUUUCCGGGCAAUCUACAAGAACUCGCAGAAAAUUUUUGUUUGCUAUCCUUAUUUUAAAUAGUUUGGCAUCACAUACUGAUUCUAUAAAUUUAGACAAUUCAUUUACGUCUUCUAUUCCAUAUAGAACGAUAGGCGGAGGCUUAUUCGUUUUUAGGUUCGGUGUGGAAUUCUUCUCAUUUAAGGCUAGAGGAGAAAACCUAUUUGAUACUGGCACGGGAGUGCUGUUUGGUGGUGAAUCGCUUGUUCUUUUCCGCUUGUUAGUACCUGGCACCCGCUGCCAGGGUGGAGGUGCUUGCUGGGUGCAUGGGUUAUCAGUCAUAUCCAGUGUGAUUGUAGUUCUGAUUGGUUGACAGAUUUAGACAUAUCGCUAAGAGAAGCUGAGCGUGUUCUAUUAAAUAGUCCGGAAUGGAAUACUUGUUGAGUGAGGGUUUUUUGAUUGGUUUUGGGUGAGGUAGUUUUGUUUUCGUUCAUAUUAGUUUUUAUUCCCACGAGUAAGGUCGAAUUUAGUAGUCACUCUCAGGGUGACGCCUAUUCCUGAGAGAAGGCAUUGGUUCAACGACACGUCGCCCAGUGUGUCGAGGUUGGUCGCUAAAGACUGAGUUAACCCAUCAGUCAUUCAUCCUAUUAGCGCGUGCCUCACUGUAGGAUUGGGGGAUUAGUUAGAGAGGUUACCUUCCUCGCGGUCCGAGUGGCGAAGUUCAGUUCCGUUCCUGCGCAACAUGACCGCAGGUUUACGGUCUGGGGAGCCGGUUAAGGCUACACUUCGGUUUUUCUGUCGGGGUUGUCUCCCUUAUCUAGAAAGUCGGUUUUAAGGCGCCAACAAUUCGCCUGUGCCCUUCAUACUUCGCUAAUACAGUCAUGAGAUAGGUGAGGAUGUGUGACACUCAUAAGGACUGUAACAUUGCCCGGGGUAGACGAACCACCUGAAAGUUCACAUGGAUCCACCCUAGCCUGUACGUCGGCAGAACUAGAGGCAGCGAGGACGUGUAUGAUCGGACUGGAUGAUGCGCGCCAGUAGCCCAGUGCCACACACCUGAGCGUACGCUAUUGGCUCUAUCUCAGCAUUUAUUAAUCAUGUCCAGUGGUACAACUUGCAUAAACUCAUCAUUGUUUGUUUUUACAGGAUAGGUAACAGUUAACAUGAAAGAUCAGAAAUGGCUAUUUCUGUUCUCUGAAACUGGCAUAUGAAAAAUUUAAGGAAAUCAUACUCUAUGCUGUUGAUGAUAGAUGUUAUAAUAAGAUAUUAUGGAAAGAAUGUAAAGGUCUUGACUGUAUUACGGAGGUGUACAUUCGAUCAUCAGGAGCUCAUGUAGUAACUAAGAAGUUAAUAAACUGAAACUUAACAUUGAUGAAACCUAUACUGAAGAAUACUGUGACUUCUAAAAUACACUCAGCGGCACAAUUAACCGCCCACCCUUUUAAAGUGGCAAAUUUUGAUGUUAUCGCAGUUGUAAGUUAUUGGGCAUAAAUAAGUCAAGUGUUAAAGAAAUGUAGUGACGAAAAAAUUACAAACUACCCACUUAACUUUGUUUUUUUUACGCAUAAGUUGUGAAUAGGAUAAAUAUCGAACUUCGUCUCGUUAUCGUUGCCAUACUGCUUACAUUGCUUCAGUGGCAUUAAAAGUAAACAAUUUGAGUUUGUUUUGGUUUCGUAACUUAGUAAGCUAGUGUUUGGACAUCACAAACAUGCUAAUUCAGUGGCGAGAGCCGUCUCUCUUAUCGACGAAGGGUUUAGUCAGCGUUACGUGGCGCGGAAGCUUGGUGUCGCACGUACCACCUUAAGGGAUGCAGUGAAACGGUUUCGGGAAACUGGCUCUUAUGAGCGAAGACCAGGACAGGGCCGAAAAAGAUGCACCUCCGCUCGUGACGACCGAUUUCUUGUGACCAAUGUUCUAAGAAAUCGGUUCACUACAGCUGUUGAGGCACGAAACCAACUUCGUGAGGUUCGCAAUGUUCAAGUGAGUGAAAGAACAGUGAGAAGAAGACUAGGAGAGAAUGCCCUUGGAGCUUUUCGACCAUCUCGAGUGCCACAAUUGCUCGUAGGCCACCGGAGAGAAAGACUUCGUUUUUCCCGAGAGCACGCCGAAUGGAAUAUGGAACAAUGGAAGAAAGUUAUGUUUACUGACGAGACAAGAAUAUGCUUGCACGGUCCUGACGGUCGCCAGCGUGUAUACAGACGCAAGAAUGAAAGGUUGGCACCAUGUACUGUUGUGGAAACAGUAGGUUACCAAGGUGGCUCUAUCAUGAUAUGGGGCGGCAUUACUUACGAAGCACGCACCGACUUGGUUAUCUUCGAAAGAGGUGGAAUAAAUGCUCAGAGGUAUGUAACAGAAGUGUUGGAACCUCAUGUAAUGACGAUCACAGUAGUGUAGUACUCAAGUAAGUAGCAACCAUUUUAAUGAAAAAAUAAAAUUUUAUUUGUU